Caenorhabditis elegans is the source of this 169-nucleotide non-coding RNA. Lineage: Eukaryota; Metazoa; Nematoda; Chromadorea; Rhabditida; Rhabditidae. The record is from Ensembl.
AAAUACAUUUUUUUUAUUACUUAAAACUUCUGAACUUUGGAAAAUCAACGCUUAUUGUAGCUGAGCAAGAAACUAAAAUUCUUUCCUCGAAAAUUUUAGUUAUAUUGCUUGGCAGCAACCGGCAUUAUUUGUGUUCCCACCAUCCCCACAAAAACAAUUAAAAUCCGUG